UGGGGAAUAUUGGACAAUGGGCGAAAGCCUGAUCCAGCCAUGCCGCGUGUGUGAAGAAGGUCUUCGGAUUGUAAAGCACUUUAAGUUGGGAGGAAGGGCAGUAAGCUAAUACCUUGCUGUUUUGACGUUACCGACAGAAUAAGCACCGGCUAACUCUGUGCCAGCAGCCGCGGUAAUACAGAGGGUGCAAGCGUUAAUCGGAAUUACUGGGCGUAAAGCGCGCGUAGGUGGUUUGUUAAGUUGGAUGUGAAAGCCCCGGGCUCAACCUGGGAACUGCAUCCAAAACUGGCAAGCUAGAGUACGGAAGAGGGUGGUGGAAUUUCCUGUGUAGCGGUGAAAUGCGUAGAUAUAGGAAGGAACACCAGUGGCGAAGGCGACCACCUGGACUGAUACUGACACUGAGGUGCGAAAGCGUGGGGAGCAAACA
Molecule: ribosomal RNA, 427 nt
Filed under: uncultured bacterium
Lineage: Bacteria
Description: partial 16S ribosomal RNA
Rfam family: Bacterial small subunit ribosomal RNA
Source: RNAcentral